This is a long non-coding RNA of Musca domestica (house fly), 429 nucleotides long. RefSeq lists it as uncharacterized. The transcript is spliced from 2 exons. The record is from RefSeq and is a predicted model, not a curated record. Lineage: Eukaryota; Metazoa; Arthropoda; Insecta; Diptera; Muscidae.
UUAUGUCAAUACUAGUACCAAAAUCUACGACAUCAUACAAAGAAUUGAAGUCUAGACACAUUCUACUUAUAGGUUCACCCAUAGAGUAAUUAGUUUGGUGAAACUCAAUAUUUAAAAACUGAUAAUACCUGCCUAAUCUAAAUUGGAUAUUAAUUCUGAAAGAGGAAAUAAGAGAGACCGAAGUGUAGGUAAUCGAAUUGAUUUUAGUCUGCUAGUAUAGGGCGGUAAUGCAAAGCCACUGUUCCAAUAAUCAAAGGAUUUCACGGAUGUUAAAAUGUUCCCGUUAAUAUUAUACACAGUUGAUAAAGGAACAGAUCGUGAAAAGCACAUGUGUUUACAUUUUUUUAAAUUUAAGUCCAUGAAAUUUAAAUAGCACCAUGAAAACAGGUUGUUGAGUUCAUAUUGCAAUAAAACUGGUUUUUCACCGGA